AACGAACGCUGGCGGCAUGCCUAACACAUGCAAGUCGAACGAGACCUUCGGGUCUAGUGGCGCACGGGUGCGUAACGCGUGGGAACCUGCCCUUAGGUUCGGAAUAACUCCCCGAAAGGGGUGCUAAUACCGGAUAAUGUCUUCGGACCAAAGAUUUAUCGCCUUUGGAUGGGCCCGCGUUGGAUUAGCUAGUUGGUAGGGUAAAAGCCUACCAAGGCGACGAUCCAUAGCUGGUCUGAGAGGAUGAUCAGCCACACUGGGACUGAGACACGGCCCAGACUCCUACGGGAGGCAGCAGUGGGGAAUAUUGGACAAUGGGCGAAAGCAUGAUCCAGCAAGGCCGCGUGAGUGAUGAAGGCCUGAGGGUUGUAAAGCACUUUUACCCGGGAUGAUAAUGACAGUACCGGGAGAAUAAGCUCCGGCUAACUCCGUG
This 433-nucleotide ribosomal RNA is filed under the name uncultured bacterium. RNAcentral's name for it is "partial 16S ribosomal RNA". It matches the Rfam family "Bacterial small subunit ribosomal RNA", at positions 29 to 507 of the family's 1533-position model. The record is from RNAcentral.